Coregonus clupeaformis (lake whitefish) is the source of this 489-nucleotide non-coding RNA. The record is from the annotation of a RefSeq genome assembly. NCBI's taxonomy places the organism in Eukaryota, Metazoa, Chordata, Actinopteri, Salmoniformes, Salmonidae.
AUGGGGAAGGAGACGACAGGCCUUCGAGAACGGUUCCACAACGACUGGGAUGGUGGGGAUUCCCUGGGAGGGGGGAUCUCACCGAGGUUCCCCCACCCUCACCGUCCGCCCUCUAGUGAGGAGCUGUCCAGUACAACAACAGCCACACUGACGUGUCUGGCCAACAAGGGCUUCCCCUCAGACUGGACCAUGAGCUGGAAAGUGGACGGGACCAGCAAGAAGCAGGAGGCCAGUCCCGGGGUCCUGGAGAAGGACGGCCUGUACAGCUGGAGCAGCACACUGACUCUCACUGCCCAGGAGUGGACCAAGGCAGGAGAGGUGACCUGUGAAGCCCAGCAGAAAUCCCAGACGCCAGUCACCAAGACCCUGAGGAGGGCUGACUGUUCUGGGAGGACCCUCACUUCAAACGACACUACUUCUUCUUCCACCAUCUCUCCCCUCGUUGAAGAGAUGUGUGAGCAGCUGACCUUUAAAAAGGUUGAGAGCUGA